Molecule: ribosomal RNA, 862 nt
Filed under: Haliotrema aurigae
Lineage: Eukaryota; Metazoa; Platyhelminthes; Monogenea; Dactylogyridea; Ancyrocephalidae
Description: eukaryotic LSU rRNA
Rfam family: Eukaryotic large subunit ribosomal RNA
Source: RNAcentral
UAAGCAUAUCAGUAAGCGGAGGAAGAGAAACUAACCAGGAUUCUCCCAGUAACGGCGAGUGAACGGAGAUUAGCCCAUCACCGAAGUCUAUUCACGUUUGUGGACAGGACAAUGUGGUGUUAAGGCAUGCGCCUUGGAUCUGUUGACCUGCUCAAAGUCCAAUUAUGAUUGUGGCUUUGUAUAUUGCCAUUGAGGGUGAAAGCCCCGUUUGGGCAGGUUUGUUUGUAUAUAUAAACGGGUCCUCGAUGCGUAUGCCAUCGAGUCGGAUUGCUUGAGAAUGCAGUCCAAAGUGGGUGGUAAACUCCAUCCAAGGCUAAAUACUGGCACGAGUCCGAUAGUAGACAAGUACCGUGAGGGAAAGUUGAAAAGUACUCUGAAGAGAGAGUAAAUAGUACGUGAAACCGCUUGCAGGGAAUCAGGUGGAGUCAAGCUACGUGCUUGGAGGUUUGGCAUGCGGCCCUUGUUGUGUCCGGAUAUGGAGUGUGAUAGCUUGGAAUAGGCUGGGUGCAUUCGUGUGCUUCAAGUCAUUCUGGGUAGUGUGAUUGAUUGCUGCUCCUAUCUCCGAGGCCGUGUGCGGAAUCUUCCAUUGGCACACAUCACGGUUCAUGGUGUGUUGUGCUUAAUGAUUGCCUAACAGUGCUUUGGCCGAUAACUAUUGGCUGGGCGCUGAAUGGAAGGUGGUGUCAUUGGGUUUCGGCCCCGCUUCUGUGUUGACACUUAUCUUACGGUCUCGACCGUCUGGCAAUCAUUAAGCAUCCGCGUCAUGUGAAAGGGAACUAAACGUUUCGAGUGGUUCAUCCUCGGAUGGGCCGCUUAUCAAUGACCGUGGUGCUGUGGUAGACGUUCCACCUGACCCGUCUUG